Centropristis striata (black sea bass) is the source of this 598-nucleotide non-coding RNA. NCBI's taxonomy places the organism in Eukaryota, Metazoa, Chordata, Actinopteri, Perciformes, Serranidae. The record is from the annotation of a RefSeq genome assembly.
AUGCUGGGGACCCUCUGCACUCUCAUCACUGCUCUAACAUAUGUUGAUGCAGUGAUCGUGCUGACUCAGAUGCCUGCUGUCCACACAGUUUCUACAGGACAAGAGGUUGUUCUCAACUGCAAUGUUGAGAGGCAUUAUUCGAAUAGAUUCGGACAAGGAACCAAGCUGAUUGUGACAAGCUCCAGCCUCCCUCCUCCUGUCCUGACUGUCUUCCCUCCGACCAGUGCUGAGCUCCAGGCUGAUAAAUCCUCUCUGGCCUGUCUCGCUGUACUUCCCAGUGAGUCUAAGGGCCUGGCAGAAGUUACCUGGUUUGGUGACGGGUGUCCGGUGAGCAGUGGGAUCUCUACCAGCACCGCUGUUCAGCAACCAGACCAGACUUUCAAAAUCAGCAGCUAUCUGUCCAUUAAAUCCUCACAGUGGAUCAUGGACAAAGUCUUCACAUGUCAAGUGUCUCUGGGUUCCCAGACUUCAGAGAAAAACAUGACAAUGUCUGAAUGCCACAUUCAAUAGGUGAAUAAAUAUGUCAUAUUAUUAAAAGGCUUGUGCUAGUUUUAGAAAUAAACACAUUUUUAGGUUUAAUUAAUGGAAAUAUUUUAGC